Molecule: ribosomal RNA, 313 nt
Filed under: uncultured eukaryote
Lineage: Eukaryota
Description: partial 18S ribosomal RNA
Rfam family: Eukaryotic small subunit ribosomal RNA
Source: RNAcentral
CCCUUAGAUGUUCUGGGCCGCACGCGCGCUACAAUGAUGAAUUCAACGAGUUUAUAACCUUGGUUGAAAAGCCUGGGUAAUCUUUUGAACUUUCGUCGUGAUGGGGCUAGACCCUUGCAAUUAUUGGUCUCCAACGAGGAAUUCCUAGUAAACGCAAGUCAUCAGCUUGCAUUGAUUACGUCCCUGCCCUUUGUACACACCGCCCGUCGCACCUACCGAUUGAGUGUUCCGGUGAAUUAUUCGGACUGCAACAGUUAUCUGUCGCGGAAAGUCUUGUGAACCUUAACACUUAGAGGAAGGAAAAGUCGUAACA